RNAcentral lists this ribosomal RNA (253 nucleotides) under uncultured bacterium. RNAcentral's name for it is "partial 16S ribosomal RNA". It matches the Rfam family "Bacterial small subunit ribosomal RNA", at positions 524 to 776 of the family's 1533-position model. The record is from RNAcentral.
UACGGGGGGGGCAAGCGUUGUUCGGAAUUACUGGGCGUAAAGGGCUCGUAGGUGGCCAACUAAGUCAUACGUGAAAUCCCUCGGCUUAACCGGGGAACUGCGUCUGAUACUGGAUGGCUUGAGUUUGGGAGAGGGACGCGGAAUUCCAGGUGUAGCGGUGAAAUGCGUAGAUAUCAUUUGGAACGCCAACGGUGAAAACAGCUCGCUGGGGAUGUGCUGACGCUGAGACACGAAAGCCAGGGGAGCAAACGGG